GAGGGUAUAGCUCAGCAGUAGAGAGCAUGCCUAGCAUGCACAAGGUCCUGGGUUCAAUCCCCAGAACCCCCA
This is a transfer RNA of Camelus ferus (Wild Bactrian camel), 72 nucleotides long. It matches the Rfam family "tRNA". From Rfam's summary of the family: Transfer RNA (tRNA) molecules are approximately 80 nucleotides in length. Their secondary structure includes four short double-helical elements and three loops (D, anti-codon, and T loops). Further hydrogen bonds mediate the characteristic L-shaped molecular structure. tRNAs have two regions of fundamental functional importance: the anti-codon, which is responsible for specific mRNA codon recognition, and the 3' end, to which the tRNAs corresponding amino acid is attached (by aminoacyl-tRNA synthetases). tRNAs cope with the degeneracy of the genetic code in two manners: having more than one tRNA (with a specific anti-codon) for a particular amino acid; and 'wobble' base-pairing, i.e. permitting non-standard base-pairing at the 3rd anti-codon position. The record is from Rfam. Lineage: Eukaryota; Metazoa; Chordata; Mammalia; Artiodactyla; Camelidae.